Molecule: long non-coding RNA, 763 nt
Organism: Xenopus tropicalis (tropical clawed frog)
Lineage: Eukaryota; Metazoa; Chordata; Amphibia; Anura; Pipidae
Exons: 3
Source: RefSeq, a predicted model, not a curated record
UUUUUAACCUGGUGCAGAGGGUUAGAAGCAAAAGCUACCCAAAAGGGCUGGUAUCUCAGUCCUGCAACAGGCAGGACCAAUCUCCAAUUAGCAGACACAAUAUGCAUGUGUGCUGCUUGGAAUGCUCCUUCCCCCCCCUCCCCCACCACCACCAAUGCCACUCACUCACUUUCUGCUGAGCAGAUGAACAGCUACCCUCCUGCUCCAGAAAUGAUGCUGUAAAACAAGUUUGACUUUAAAGAUAUAUUCAGGCAGAAAGGAGGAAAACACCAGGAUGUCAUCUAAGUAGUAGACCACUACGCAGGGAUGAAGCAGAUCAGGAAAGAUGUCAUUGAUGAAGUCCUGAAAAUCUAAUGGAGCAUUACAUAAACCAAAAGUUCCCUGGAUUAUCAAUCAGCUGACUUAUUGGAGGUGGCAGGUUAAUCAAAGCGACAAACUGAAAUCAUUUGUACCAGAUUAUCUGUCUUUCCAAACUCUGACAGAUGCUAAGUCCAGCUGGUACAAAAAGUUUAUAGGCGAGCUGAAUCUGGGGUCUUCACACACUCCACAAUGUUGGCUACCAAUUCUUGUUUUAAUGAGUCACGAAUUGCCUGUUUAUCUUCUGUUCCCUGCUGUUUCUGCAUUUUCUCUUCCAGAACAAUCCCAGAAACACAUGCUGCUACAGACGCUGUUGCAACUUGUAUAGAAAUUUGAGCCAAAUCAUUAUAAAGAACUUUUUUUCCUGUACUAUAAAAAACAAUAAAACUAUACACUGUAUGACAAA